Molecule: ribosomal RNA, 393 nt
Filed under: uncultured bacterium
Lineage: Bacteria
Description: partial 16S ribosomal RNA
Rfam family: Bacterial small subunit ribosomal RNA
Source: RNAcentral
AUACGGAGGAUCCGAGCGUUAUCCGGAUUUAUUGGGUUUAAAGGGUGCGUAGGUGGUUUGAUAAGUCAGCGGUGAAAGUUUGCAGCUUAACUGUAAAAAUGCCGUUGAAACUGUCGGACUUGAGUGUAAAUGAGGUAGGCGGAAUGCGUGGUGUAGCGGGGAAAUGCAUAGAUAUCACGCAGAACUCCGAUUGCGAAGGCAGCUUACUAAGCUACAACUGACACUGAAGCACGAAAGCGUGGGGAUCAAACAGGAUUAGAUACCCUGGUAGUCCACGCAGUAAACGAUGAUUACUAGCUGUUUGCGAUACACAGUAAGCGGCACAGCGAAAGCGUUAAGUAAUCCACCUGGGGAGUACGCCGGCAACGAUGAAACUCAAAUGAAUUGACGGGG